AUUGAACGCUGGCGGUAUGCUUAACACAUGCAAGUCGAACGGCAGCAUGGUCUAGCUUGCUAGACUGAUGGCGAGUGGCGGACGGGUGAGUAACGCGUAGGAAUAUGCCUUGAAGAGUGGGACAACUUGGGGAAACUCAAGCUAAUACCGCAUGUACUCGAGAGAGUAAAGCUGGGGAACUUUAGGCCUGGCGCUUUAAGAUUAGCCUGCGUCCGAUUAGCUAGUUGGGAGGUUAAGGGCCUAACAAGGCGACGAUCGGUAGCUGGUCUGAGAGGAUGAUCAGCCAAACUGGAACUGAGAGACGGUCCAGACUCCUACGGGAGGCAGCAGUGGGGAAUAUUGGACAAUGGGGGGAACCCUGAUCCAGCAAUGCCGCGUGUGUGAAGAAGGCCUGAGGGUUGUAAAGCACUUUCAGUGGGGAGGAGGUUUGGAAGGUUAAGAGCUAUUCAAAUGGACGUUACCCACAGAAGAAGCACCGGCUAACUCCGUGCCAGCCGCCGCCGUAA
RNAcentral lists this ribosomal RNA (506 nucleotides) under uncultured bacterium. Its description in RNAcentral is "partial 16S ribosomal RNA". It matches the Rfam family "Bacterial small subunit ribosomal RNA", at positions 30 to 523 of the family's 1533-position model. The record is from RNAcentral.